AUCACAUUUACUGGCUGAUUUCUGAUGGAGUGGGAUUAACAAUAAAAGAGACUACUUUGGAAAAGAAAGAGCAAAAGCCUGGUCAGGCCAUAAGUAGGCUUGUAGCUAAGGAAAACAGUGGUUCUAAACAAGUCUGCGUAAAUCAAAUUCAAACAUUUGUUUAUUUGUUAGGAAAUCUGUGAUAUUUGACAAGUAUGUCUUCAAUUCUAUUGUCCAAGUCAUUGAUAAAGUAUGUUGAAUAGCACUGGGCCCAGGACAGAACUCUGUGGUACAUCACUGGUCACUUAUCUCCAGAAUGAAGAGGAGCCAUUGAUCUGGAAAUGCCUAAACAUACAAUACUGGAAAAAUGUCUGAACUGCAAUGUGAAUUCUGCUCAGUGUGGAGGAGGGAGACAGCUUCAAGUCACCUGUCCAUGCACUUCUAAAUUUCACCCUGUUGACCAUAUAAAAGUAUUUUUUUAAAAAAAGAAUUUUCUCUUCACCACUUUAUUAAAUGGCUUGUAAUUCUGUGACAAUAAAAAUGAAGAAAGCAUGUUGCUGAGUCAGAUAGGUGGCAGAAAAGGCAAACAAAAGGACCAGAGGGCUUUAAGAAUGCCUUUAGGAGGAAAGCUUGUUUGGCGCUGCAGUCAGCCCUCCAUAUCCACAUAUUCAACCAUUAACGAUUUGGAAAUAUUUUUAAAAUGACAUACCAAUAAUAUUUUUAAAAAU
Long non-coding RNA from Anolis carolinensis (green anole), 707 nucleotides. RefSeq lists it as uncharacterized. The transcript is spliced from 3 exons. Lineage: Eukaryota; Metazoa; Chordata; Lepidosauria; Squamata; Anolidae. The record is from RefSeq and is a predicted model, not a curated record.